AGCUGAGUUUGAUCCUGGCUCAGGACGAACGCUGGCGGCGUGCCUAAUACAUGCAAGUCGAGCGAGCUUGCCUAGAUGAUUUCAGUGCUUGCACUGAAAGAAACUAGAUACAAGCGAGCGGCGGACGGGUGAGUAACACGUGGGUAACCUGCCCAAGAGACUGGGAUAACACCUGGAAACAGAUGCUAAUACCGGAUAACAACACUAGACGCAUGUCUAGAGUUUAAAAGAUGGUUCUGCUAUCACUCUUGGAUGGACCUGCGGUGCAUUAGCUAGUUGGUAAGGUAACGGCUUACCAAGGCAAUGAUGCAUAGCCGAGUUGAGAGACUGAUCGGCCACAUU
RNAcentral lists this ribosomal RNA (342 nucleotides) under uncultured Lactobacillus sp. RNAcentral's name for it is "bacterial SSU rRNA". It matches the Rfam family "Bacterial small subunit ribosomal RNA", at positions 1 to 314 of the family's 1533-position model. The record is from RNAcentral. Lineage: Bacteria; Bacillati; Bacillota; Bacilli; Lactobacillales; Lactobacillaceae.